RNAcentral lists this non-coding RNA (111 nucleotides) under Candidatus Ventrisoma faecale. RNAcentral's name for it is "FMN riboswitch (RFN element)". It matches the Rfam family "FMN riboswitch aptamer (RFN element)". Rfam says of the family: The RFN element is a highly conserved domain that is found frequently in the 5'-untranslated regions of prokaryotic mRNAs that encode for flavin mononucleotide (FMN) biosynthesis and transport proteins. This element is a metabolite-dependent riboswitch that directly binds FMN in the absence of proteins. The record is from RNAcentral. Lineage: Bacteria; Bacillati; Bacillota; Clostridia. RNAcentral also lists the same sequence under 1 other name.
UUCUUCGGGGCGGGGUGAGAUUCCCCACCGGCGGUGACAGUCCGCGACCUGCCAAGGCAGCUGAUCCGGUGCAAUUCCGGAACCGACAGUAUAGUCUGGAUGAGAGAAGAA